Boleophthalmus pectinirostris (great blue-spotted mudskipper) is the source of this 5401-nucleotide long non-coding RNA. RefSeq lists it as uncharacterized. Lineage: Eukaryota; Metazoa; Chordata; Actinopteri; Gobiiformes; Gobiidae. The transcript has 3 exons. The record is from RefSeq and is a predicted model, not a curated record.
ACCAAGUCAACCUGCUGAUUCACUAUGGACCUUACGACUCAAAUAGACAAAAUAUAUAAAUGAGAGAAAAGAGGAUGUGAUGGGGAGAUAUCGAAGGAUGCCAUCGCUGGGAGAGGAGAGGCAGCAGCGUCUGAGCACAACGACAUAUGGACUCAGCAGGAGUCUGGCUGGCAUGGCGAUGCUGAGAGCCACAGGAGCAGGUCUGGGACUGCUCCGGGACCGUCCAAUAAAUCGACUGAGCAACUCCUCCUUCCACUCCCGCCUGUGGGACCAAUCCUGACACACUCACCGCCAGUGCAGCACCAGGGAAUUGUGGGUUCCUUUUGCCUGAGGAGACCAAUCUGUCUGCACGCACAUCCUACAAGCAUCGGAGCAGAAAAGUGUGUGUGUAUGAGUCUGUGUGUAUGUGUAUGUGCGCACUACGGCCCCUCUCGCCCCAGGGCAGCUGUGACCACUGCACUGGGCGGGUGGUCCCAGCAGGAGAGCGGUGCACUCACUUUAACUUGGGGGAAUUAGAGUCAUUACAACAGAAGGGCACUAGAGGACAAGUGCUUCAGCGGACAGAGGAGGGACAAGCUGAGGGACAUAUCAGAUCAAUCAGAGACACGUUUAAUCAGACUCUUGUAAAACAUCAUAUGCAGAGCGAGGGUGCAAUUAUACACUUCAUUAUAUGUUACAUCUGACUGUCAUUGCCAUCAGUGUUAAUUCUAUGGGCACAGGUUAGUAUUAUGAAAGCCCUUGACUCUCACAUGGAUUAGAUCUAUGAUAUAGUGUAAUUAUCCCUGUGUUCUGAUGUAUUUAAAGGGCCCAUAUUGCACAAAUUUAAAAUCUAUGUUAUAAUGUUGUUUCCUCAUCACAAACAUAUCUGGAGUUGUGUUUUGUUUCAUUCACACAUUUAACACACAACUGCAAAUUUAGGCAGUGUUCUUCUCUCAAACUGAGAACACUCUCUUCCACCUUGUGAUCUCAUGUGGUAAUACAGGAAGUGCUCCACUGUGUAUUUAAACUCCAUAGGCCUUCACUACAACCAUUUGGAUAAUUUCAGCGUUGGAACUGUCAAUCUCUCUUAAACUAGGUAAAAGGUACAAUAGCAGUUAAGUUGAAAACUAUAUCACCACAUGACAUCACAAGGUGGAACAGAGCAUUUUGAGCUUUGGAGAUGAAGACAGACUAAUAAUAAAGGGUUACUCAAAAUAUGUAAGUAUGAAACAAAACACAACUCCAGGUAUGUUUUGAUGAGACCUUUUAAAUGGCUGAUCAAGUGUUAUGAUUGACUUGAUGAUAAAUGAAUCAAUCUUCUUCUAUGCCAGUUGAUCCUAAUUAUGACUCUUAAUUGCUGAAUGUCCUGUACUUUUCAUAAUUUAUGAACCACGCAAUUACCAAAAUUUCAGUCCUCAACUUGUAGUUAGAUCUCUGUACAUUUUUUUUUUUUUAUUGAGAAACAUCUUGUAUUCCCAGUGUAUUUAUUGCUGAGGAGUAAUGCUUGUCAUAAGAGAGACACAGACACCAAUACAAUAUUUUAUGAGUCGACAGCGAAUGGGAUUCAGGAGGCAUCACACAUCUUGUUUUAUCAUCUAUUUCUUAUUGUGGCACUUCCAUAAAAAUGAAACAUGAUAUGAUUGGAUGUUACCUCUGCUAUAGAUAACAACAAUAUAUUCCUCUUUUUGUAUUCCAGUCUGCAGAAUUUCAUUAUAACCAAAGGUUUCUGUGCAAAGAAUAGCAGAUUCUAAUUUUCAAUGAUUUUCUGUGGAUGUUAAGAGUCAAUUUAAACCAGUUUUGUUUUAAACUAAAAUUGUAUCCGAACAUUGACCCCAUUAGGAGGUGCUGUAUCUUUGUAAGUGGUUUCUCAUAUGUUUAAAUGACCACGUCUUUGAGCGCUGUCAAUUCAUUAACUUUCUGGGCCAGACUAUACGCAUUUCAUUAUCUUUAAUAGAGCAGAGUCCGGCUAAAACCCAGGCAUUUGGACAGUAAUUAUAUGCUUUUUGAAUAAGGUCGGAUAGAAAAUAGAGGUGAAUAAGCACUUGUCAUUUGUUAACCCUGACGCAUAAAAAGUACUGCUCAAAAGUAUUUUAAGAAAGUCAAACCAAAAUAAUAUAAAUGCUUCUUUUUUAUGACUGAAAAACAAAACUAAAACUAUAUUUAAUACCAUAUACCUCAGACAAGGCACUGGUCUUAUCUUGCAACAGUGCUAAUCUAGGAAUAGGAACAAGAAAAUGCACUCAGACACAUUAGAUGCCUUUGAAGGUCCUAUAUUGUAUCAAAUUGACUCUAAUGCUGGUACCUCAUCAAAAACAUUCCUGAGGUUGUGUUUUGUUUCAUUCAUACAUGUUUGAGUAAUCCUGUAUUAUUAGCCUGUCUACUAGCCCGUUUCAUCAGCCGGUUUCACUCUGUUUCACUUCGUAGAAAUCGUCUGACCUCACAGUGUUAGAAUUCGUUGGCUCAAUGGUAGGCGGGUACUUUUUAUCAUUUAACCAUUUGCUGCUAUUUGGUCGUGAUGUAUGUAAUGCAUCACUAAUGGGGCUAACUGGUAUUAAAUUUUUCCCACAUCCCGAACGAAGACGGGCAAUAAGACGGGCCUUUCCCCUUGAUGAAAUUCACCAAACAUUCUCUUUAUUCUGGCUUUAAAUCCUUGAUCUCUGGAAUCGCUGACAACACUGAAUAUAGGGCUCUUCGCUGAUUGGCUGGUGCCCGAACUUGCACUUCCGGGGUUUUUGCGAACCAUCUAUUGUAUUUUGAUUCCUGACCUAGUUGCUGGAGAGAAAUGAAUUUGAGCUGAGGCACUAGGUGGUGCCAACCGGGUUACCUGUCUACAUCUCUAAAGCUCAAAAUGCCUUUGUAAUGUCAUGAAGAGGUAAUUUUCAAGUUAACAGCUACCUUUUAUCUUUAGUUCAGUACAGAUUGGCAAUUCCAGGACUGAAAUCAUCCAGAUGAUUCUAUUGAAGGUGUGUGGAAAUUAAAAACACAGUGGAGUUCUUUCUGUAUAACACAUGACAUCGCAAGACCGAACAGCGUGCUUUCAGUUUGAGAGAAGAACUCUCUCUAAAUAUGCAGGGUUUGUGUUAAACAUGUGUGAAUGAGCUAAAACACAAUUCCAGGUUGUUUUUGAUGAGAGAAAAACAUUAUAACAUAUUAGAAAAUUGUACGGCAAAUUAUUAAAUAAUAAAUAAUGGUAAUUGUGUCAAAAUAUGAUGAUGAUGAUGAUGAUGAUUAUUAUUAUUAUUAUUAUUAUUAUUAUUAUUAUUAUUUUCAGUCAGUUUCAUGAAUUGUCUUAGAAAUCACUACUCUUAUUUUAUCUUCCUAAAACGCCUCAAAUAUACACAAUAUACAGUCAACUAGAACAAUUAAAACUGAAGAUGGGAGAUCACAGCUAUAAUGAAAAUGCAGAGUGUUGCUUUUCUUCUAACAAAUCACUUUUUCUCACUUUUUCCUUGAGCCUGAAAUGGAAAUUUACCCAUUAACUUACAAAUGAGAGUCUUUGUUUCAUUAGACCAGCAGCACAUAGCAAAUGAAUCCACCAUCCAUGUUGUUUUUGUCCCACUAAAAUUAAUAGAAAAUCUGAGUGUGUAAAUUAGGAACAAGUUUUAUGAUUAUACAGAAAAAAGUAAAAUUGUAUUCAUGUUGCAUCACGUUGAAGAAGCACUAAUGGCACUUUAAUUAGGCUUUAAUGUGCAGACCCCUCCCCCUCCAUCUCCCCUCUCUGUAAGCACCCAUGUGCACAGAGGAUACAGGACAAUUGUGCUCAAAUCAUUUACUGUGAGCAAUUUAUCAGUCGGUUCAGGUAAAUGGGAAAGGUGAAAUGACUCAUGCAAAUAUAUUGUGUGGUUAUGUCAGUUAUUGUGAUCAGUUCAGACCUGGUUGGGUAAGGAGUAUGGCAAAGAAAAUGAACAAUUAAGACGCAAUAAUUGUAAGAAACUGUUCCAAGUGUGACAAUAACAUGGUGAAAGGAAAUGGGAAAACAAAGUACACACUGUAAUUAACUAACUAAGGUAAUCGGGUGAUUGCCUAUUAUGUAUCUUCUGCUUUACAAAUGCCACCAGAUACAAGCUAGUGGAGAUCAGGAAGGGCAUCUGGCUGAAAAACAUAUGUGCCAAUGGUAUAGCAGCUCCAUAUAUUCUUACUGUUUAUGACUCUGUAUUAUCUGUGCUUCUGGAAUAUUUUCUUUGUAAAAUUCUGCAUUCAGUUCUCAUAGCUUGCAUUUAGCUUGCACCUGCCAGAGACUCAUUGUGGUCCUGCUGCUUUAGCCCCAUCAGCUGAGCACAGGGACAGGUUCAGACAGGUGCAAGCUCCUGUGAGGCGGUAGACUGAACACAAACCUCCCUGAGCUCCUGAUGCUGCACACUGCUUAAUGUGAGGCCACAUUAUCUACGCACCUGUCUCCAAAACAUGCUACGCAGGCUCAAAUUACCAGUUUAAUUAGUAAAACCAACAUGAGUGGAAAUUAAACAUAUUUAAGAAGCUGGUAUUUUUGUCAUUUAAAAGUAGAUCAUUUUACUUGUUUAGGAUCGGAUAUGACAUGAGAAUUUAGUUUUAAAUGUAUUUUAAAGGCAAUUUUAGUCAUUUAAAAGGCAUAAUAAAAUGGAAAUGAAAAUCAAAUUAAUUAUCAUGAAGAAAGGCAUACUUUAUUAAGGUUAAUAAGGUGUAGUUGUAAUGUAGUAAAGUGUACACAUUUUACUGCCUACUAUACCUCUGGCAUUUGGACAUAUUUUGUGACCUACAUGUGUAGCACUGGGGCAUUUCAAAAUGGUUUAGUUCUUUCACUCUUUGAGGAAUUUUCCUGCUAGAAUUGUAAGCAGUUCUCCCAUCCCAUAGCUUUCUCUCUUCUCUAAUUUUGCCAAACAUUGACUAAUUAUGGCCUUUGCCUCAUUAAGACGCAGAGGAGGGAGACUCAGACUGCUCCAGAUGUGUAAAGCCUGCAGGUCCAGUCACUGCCACUCUCUCUCAUGUUGUGUGUGUUUGAAAACUCCAUAAAACUGUGUUGCUGUAGUUCCUGUUUGUCUCAGGGCAUUUGUGAGUGCUCCACUGGCCCACUUUUGCUUCUGCACUGAAGUAAGUUUGGAGGCUGUCAUGUGCUCAGACGGAACACUAGAUGGGGAUGGUGCCAUCUUCAUCACUCACCUGAACAACUGCUGAUGCUGUCCAAGUGCCAAGGCACCUGUCAAAACAAAUGCAGGACACAACAUUUGCGUGAUGUAUGGAGAGACAAACUUUGUUUAAACACCAUUCUAUAUAAGUUUGGUUGAAGACAGAAGUUCCCAUAUGCCCUAUUUCUAUGUUUCCCAUAUACUGUAAGAUGAUGCAGUUAACUUUAGGUGAACAUGUUUGUGCUCUGGAAAUCUGAGGCUUUGUUCAAAUGCUAUUUACCAAUCCAUAAAGAAACAAACUGACAUAAUUCGUCUAGCAA